Notechis scutatus (mainland tiger snake) is the source of this 531-nucleotide non-coding RNA. NCBI's taxonomy places the organism in Eukaryota, Metazoa, Chordata, Lepidosauria, Squamata, Elapidae. The record is from RefSeq and is a predicted model, not a curated record.
AAAUUUUAGAGAAGAGGGAGACGGAUUGCAAGACCUACAUCAUCACCAAUGUCAAAGACGUGAAUGAGAACGAUGGCAAAUUUUGCAGUUUUGCAUCGUUCUACGGCAGGAUGAUGUCUAUAUCCAAUGCCGGGAAGCAGUCCUUCAUAGACUUUGCUAUGGACUUGCAGAUAGACAGAGAGCAGAUAUUCUUUUUGCCCAAGAAAGAUGCCGCUACAAAAUCUGACUAGCCGAGUCUCACGGGGAAGACCUUAACGCCAGAGGGACCAUUUUCCGGGCAAGCAACUCCCGGGCUGGGGACCCCACUCUCCUCGCUCCAGGUCUGGAUCCCUCUGUCAGUACGUGGCAAUGACAGAGGGGGUGAGUGGUCUGGGACACCCAGAAGACCCUUCCAGAGGGAUUCCCUUUUGGCUCCUGUGCUGUUUUCCCUGGAACGACGAGAGCAGAAGCAUCGGAAACUCCACCUCCACCAGCCGCUCUGUGCAAUUUUGUCUUCACUAAAACAUAAACACCUCUGAUAAAUGCAUAAUA